RNAcentral lists this long non-coding RNA (2015 nucleotides) under Gadus morhua (Atlantic cod). RNAcentral describes it as "lncRNA (ENSGMOG00000027278.1)". The record is from RNAcentral. Lineage: Eukaryota; Metazoa; Chordata; Actinopteri; Gadiformes; Gadidae.
GGGAGUAAACCUGUCAAAAGAGGAAGUCAGGGCCCAGGCACCAAAUCCACUUACCCGGCGAGAGCUCCUCAGUCAAGUCUCUGGGCUGUAUGAUCCCCUCGGCCUUGCAGCACCGGUCAAGCAGAAGGGAGCCAUCCUGGUAAGAAGAGCAUUCCAGGAGGCAAGAGUUAAGUACAGUCCAGCUGAGGAUACAUGGGACGCACCUUUGUCCGAGGGCCUUCGGGAAGACGCCAUCUGCCUCUUUGAAGACUACGCUGAGCCCAGUCGGGUGAAGUUCACCAGAGCCUUGACACCACCUGACUCUUGUGCCAAACCCUGCGGUAUCACCUUCUCUGAUGGCAGCGAGCGUUCCUAUGGUGCUGUACUGUACCUACGGUGGGAAAUGCCACACACUGUGACCCUACGACUGGUCGAAGCCAAAGCCAGGUUGACUCCUCUAGACCACAAGGGCGACGCUGUCAAGGCUGAAGUCUGCGGUGCCGUCUACGCUGGCCGUCUAAAGAAGUACUUCCAGAAGCACUGUAGUAUCCGUGUGGAAAAGUGGUACCACCUGAUCGACAGCCGGACAGUCCUGGGGGCCAUCCAACGUGAGAGCUACGACUACCAAACGUUUUUUGCCAAUAGAAUUGGAGAAAUCCAAGGCAGCACAAACGUCCAAGACUGGUGGUGGAUUCCUGGGCCUCUCAACAUCGCAGAUAUUAUCUCAAGAGGGGCAAGCCCGGAGGAGCUGGAUGAAGACACUGAAUGGCAGCUUGGUCCCAAGUUUCUGAGCCUCCCCGAGCGUGAGUGGCCCGUGAAAUCUGCAAAAGAUGUUGCUGUAGAAGCCAGAGAGAACAUCAUGUGCAUCCAGAAGAAGGCAUUCGUUGCUGCACUGACCCGAUCUGGAGCAAAGAAGGAACCCAAGACGGAACCAAGCUCAAACCCCACUAAUCUGCACAGGCCUCCUGCUGGUUCCGCUGUCACAAAUCUGGUGAAAAUCCAGCGGUUCAGCAGCCUAACCAGACUGGUAAAGUCUCUUGCACUGGUCUGGAGGGCCGCAAAGAAAUUUCUCAGUCUCAAAGCCCGGGGGAAACCAAAGUGGGAGGCAGUCCAAAUGACCGGUACAGUCACUGUGGCCGAGAGAGAAGACUCGUUCCGAGACCUCUGCCUUGCGGCACAAGAAGGAGCUACCUUCCCUGACACCACAACAAACCGGCUGGUCACGUACAGGGACGAAGCCAGCGGGCUGUUGCUGUGCGGUGGCAGGGUCCAGCACUUUAAAGAAGAUGGCCGUGCUGUUCCACUGAUCCCCUUCAACACCUGGUUGGGGACUCUGCUGGCACGCCAAAGUCACCAAGAAGGCCAUGAAGGAGUUGCUGGCACUCUACUAAGAAUGCGGCAAAUGGCUUGGGUUGUGCAAGGCAGGAGACUGGCUCAACAAGUCAUCAAUAAGUGCAUCCACUGCAAAAAGGCCAGAGCUCAAGUCUGCCAACAAGUGAUGGGUGACCUACCUGUAGAAAGGGCAAGACCUGCUGCGCCGUUCCAAUUCAUAUCAGUCGACCUGUUCGGACCUUACCUGGUCAGAGAUGACAUCAAAAGAAGAGUCUCCAUGAAAGUCUGGGGAGUCGUCUUCUGCUGCAUGGCAAGCCGGGCUCUGCAUAUCGACCUUGUCAACAGCCUUUCAACAGAAAGCUUCCUCAUGGCCUACCAAAGGUUCACCGCCAUCAGAGGGCACCCCACCAAGGUCUGGUCAGACCCUGGAACCAACUUUGUUGGUGCAAAGUCUCUGCUGGAAGACCUUUACAGUUUCCUGGGUAGCCAAUACAUGCCAAACCUGGAAGAGUAUGCUGUGAAGAAUGGGACAAGCUGGACAUGGAAAGUGCUCCCUGCCGAUUCACCGCAUCGAAAUGGAGCUGCAGAAGCUGCCGUAAAGAUCACAAAGAGAGCCCUUCAAAGUCUGAGCACCCAGGCAAACCUCACCUUCAGCGAGUUCCUCACAUUCCUCCAGAUGGCAGCAAACCUGGCAAAUGAGCGGC